GACGAAGGGGGCUAGCGUUGUUCGGAAUUACUGGGCGUAAAGCGCGUGUAGGCGGUUGUUCAAGUCAGGUGUGAAAUCCUGGAGCUCAACUCCAGAACUGCCUUUGAUACUGAGAAGCUUGAGUCCGGGAGAGGUGAGUGGAACUGCGAGUGUAGAGGUGAAAUUCGUAGAUAUUGGGAAGAACACCGGUGGCGAAGGCGGCGACCUGGUCCGAUACUGACGCUGAGGCGCGAAAGCGUGGGGAGCAAACAGG
This 253-nucleotide ribosomal RNA is filed under the name uncultured bacterium. RNAcentral's name for it is "partial 16S ribosomal RNA". It matches the Rfam family "Bacterial small subunit ribosomal RNA", at positions 524 to 776 of the family's 1533-position model. The record is from RNAcentral.